Long non-coding RNA from Octodon degus (degu), 244 nucleotides. RefSeq lists it as uncharacterized. The transcript is spliced from 2 exons. The record is from RefSeq and is a predicted model, not a curated record. Lineage: Eukaryota; Metazoa; Chordata; Mammalia; Rodentia; Octodontidae.
GUUCCUGCUCCUCUGACCUGGUAGGAAGCUCUUGCCCGGUGCUGACCCUCCUCCCAGCACUACACGGUGACCAAGGUGGAAGGAACCGCAGGAGGACUGGACCUGCCUAGCCGUGCGACUGGCCAGCGUUCAUUUUUCCCCUGCACCAUCCUGCCCCCUGCUGCUUGACUGGCCAAGACAUGGUGUUUUAAAGGCAGCAGUUCUUCCAGAUAGCUCUGCUUCUCUGCAGUUGAUGUCCGCAAGG